RNAcentral lists this ribosomal RNA (497 nucleotides) under uncultured bacterium. RNAcentral describes it as "partial 16S ribosomal RNA". It matches the Rfam family "Bacterial small subunit ribosomal RNA", at positions 29 to 507 of the family's 1533-position model. The record is from RNAcentral.
AAUGAACGCUGGCGGCGUGCCUAAUACAUGCAAGUCCAGCGAACGGACGAGAAGCUUGCUUCUCUGAUGUUAGCGGCGGACGGGUGAGUAACACGUGGAUAACCUACCUAUAAGACUGGGAUAACUUCGGGAAACCGGAGCUAAUACCGGAUAAUAUUUUGAACCGCAUGGUUCAAAAGUGAAAGACGGUCUUGCUGUCACUUAUAGAUGGAUCCGCGCUGCAUUAGCUAGUUGGUAAGGUAACGGCUUACCAAGGCAACGAUGCAUAGCCGACCUGAGAGGGUGAUCGGCCACACUGGAACUGAGACACGGUCCAGACUCCUACGGGAGGCAGCAGUAGGGAAUCUUCCGCAAUGGGCGAAGGCCUGACGGAGCAACGCCGCGUGAGUGAUGAAGGUCUUCGGAUCGUAAAACUCUGUUAUUAGGGAAGAACAUAUGUGUAAGUAACUGUGCACAUCUUGACGGUACCUAAUCAGAAAGCCACGGCUAACUACGUG